UCACAAUUCUUAUACAGAUUGAAAAUAAAAUGCAUGGACGUGUUUGCAGGAUUGGGGUACCCGUUUCCUGGAAUCUUCUGCCUGGGUGUUGGAACACUUGCCGCUCUUCCUGCUCCCUCCAUUGGCUACCACUCCCAUUGAUUGAAGGAAAAGGUCCCUGGAUCACUAUUAAAUGAGCCGCAGGUGGAGAAGGGAGUGGAAAGUGGUAGUUCUGUUCCAUAAACAAGAUGGAAUCUGAAGGAAAGAGGACUGUGCCCUGAGUGCUUUUCUUUCUUCUGAGGAGUGAGCUGUGUACCAAUCUGUAACAGGUU
Molecule: long non-coding RNA, 311 nt
Organism: Terrapene triunguis (Three-toed box turtle)
Lineage: Eukaryota; Metazoa; Chordata; Testudines; Emydidae
Exons: 2
Source: RefSeq, a predicted model, not a curated record